RNAcentral lists this ribosomal RNA (492 nucleotides) under uncultured bacterium. RNAcentral describes it as "partial 16S ribosomal RNA". It matches the Rfam family "Bacterial small subunit ribosomal RNA", at positions 28 to 507 of the family's 1533-position model. The record is from RNAcentral.
GACGAACGCUGGCGGCGUGCUUAACACAUGCAAGUCGAACGGAAAGGCCCCCACUUUUUUGGUGGGGGUGCUCGAGUGGCGAACGGGUGAGUAACACGUGGGUGAUCUGCCCUGUACUUCGGGAUAAGCUUGGGAAACUGGGUCUAAUACCGGAUAGGACCAUGGUUUAGUGUCUCAUGGUGGAAAAAUUAUUGUUUUGGUGCAGGAUGAGCUCGCGGCCUAUCAGCUUGUUGGUGGGGUAAUGGCCUACCAAGGCGUCGACGGGUAGCCGGCCUGAGAGGGUGGACGGCCACAUUGGGACUGAGAUACGGCCCAGACUCCUACGGGGGGCAGCAGUGGGGAAUAUUGCACAAUGGGCGCAAGCCUGAUGCAGCGACGCCGCGUGGGGGAUGACGGCCGUCGGGUUGUAAACUCCUUUCGUUAGGGACGAAGCCGCACCUUUUUUGGGUGUGGUGACGGUACCUUUGUUAAGAAGCACCGGCUAACUACGUG